This 1839-nucleotide long non-coding RNA is filed under the name Salvia miltiorrhiza (redroot sage). Its description in RNAcentral is "long non-coding RNA (SMIL_LNC006504)". Lineage: Eukaryota; Viridiplantae; Streptophyta; Magnoliopsida; Lamiales; Lamiaceae. The record is from RNAcentral.
CCAGUCAAUAUAAUAAUACUAAAAUAAAAUAAAAAAACACACAUUAAUUUCCACUUCUCCAAUAUAGGGCAUUUAAUAUACAAAUUAUUUCAACAUUUUAUAUUUCACCACGAAAUUCAACUAUAGAAGUAGAAAACACUAGCCGCAAAAACAGCACCUUGAAAUAAAAUCUGUGGUUUGGUUUUCACUAAAAACCAUAAUUUAAAAACACCAUUAAAAAGCAUCAAUGGAGACUGUAAAUUAAAAUAAAUAAGUAUCAUCUUGUUCUUCAAGGCAUGUUUUCGUCAUCCUGGAACUCUUCCCUGUUCUGGUAUCCUCCCAUGGAGUUGUCGCCGUUGAACUCAUACGCAUUGUUUCCGUAGAAGUUUCUGUUGUUGAAUUCAUUUUGGCGGCGAGCGCCUCGCAAGGUCUCGUAGGGGUGAUUGCUGCUGUAUUUCUCGGAGUUAAGGUCGUAGUAAUACUUGCCGUUUUCCAAGUAGCGCGUGUCGCUCAUUCCUUGAGGCUGGAAGGAGUUGCGGCGGCUGCUGAAGGUGGCGGCGCCCUCGCUCUGCCCCUGCGGCUGGAAGGAGUUGCGGCCGUUGCUGAAGGUGGCGGCGCCCUCGCUCUGCCCCUGCGGCUGGCUGUUGAAGCUGCUCCCGCCAUUGUAGUAGAAGUUGCCGGCGGCGUUGUCUCCGUUGUUGGCGGCGGCGGGGUAGCUUCUGAACUCGGUAUCCUCCUCUUGCUGCUGCUGGUUGUUGUUGUAGUAAUUCUGCGCGCCGCUGUAAUAAUUGUUUCUGUUGUUGUCGUUGUCGGGAUGGGUGGCGCUGAAGCUGCUUUCCUCGGGGAAGGCUGCGGUGCCUUGGUUUACGUCAGAUUCGGGCUGGGUGACGUAGGCCACCGGGUUGUAGUUCUUGGGGAGGUAUUUGUUGACGGGUUGUUUGAAUUCGGCGGCGGCGGGGGUGGUGGUGGUGGUGGCUGCGGUGGAGGGAGGGUUUUGGCCGGACUCGUGGCCGUAGAGGCCGUAGCUGUUCUCGUUUUCCGGGAGGAAAUUGGGCUCUUGCUGAUUGGUGGAAGCUUCUUUGUUGUUGGGGACAACAACGUUGUUGGUGGUGCUGGGGAUUUUGUUGAAGAACUGGCUGUCUCUUGCAUGGAUAUGCAGAGAGGAGAAGAGGGUGAGGAGGAGGAAGAGGGAGAGUUUCAUGGCGGGGGAAGCCAUUGCAGGAUGAGAGAGAGAGAGAGAGAGAGUGUAUAGUGUUGUGAACUUGGUGUGGUUUGUGUUUUUAUAGAUGGGAAGCUCUGCCUCUGCCUUUGUGAGUGUGUGAGUGAGUGAGUGAGUGUGUUAUGAACUUUUAAAAUUUCAACCGAUUUGGUGGAAAUGGGAGAGGAUUAGGUCAUUAUAGCACAAAUAAGACUUAUUUAAUUGCGUUUUGUGCGCGUAUUUAUUUCCAUAAUUUCCUCUGUAGUGAAUAUUAAUUUAUUAUUAUAUCUGCGCCUGUGAGCACUCCCCACAGUAAGUAUGGGCGCAAUCAAUAAAUUCAACUUUUAUGGAGAAAAUAUAACGUACAAUGGAUGGUAAUGUAUGAAACAAGCAUACCACAAAAGCUUCACGUUUCAUUAUUAUAAGGAUACACCACCCUGCUUAAUGUAUCAAUAGUUUACUGAUAAUGUUAAUCUACAUAUAUAACCAACUAAUUUUCCAAAAAAGAAAGAACAUCAUUCGGAAUGUCCAUAGAAUCAGGUCGUGGAAUUGUUAGAUUUUGUAAAUUAUACUCCAGAAAAUAACAAAUAAACUGGCACAUUGAUUAAUGUCAUAAUGUGAAAAGGAAAAUUACUAUCACAUGUGCAAGUAUGUUGAUCAUA